ACGGACACAUCACGUUGAAACACAGGUUUCUGUACGAUCACCGAAGUUAAGCAAUGUCGAGCUUGUUUAAUACCUAGAUGGGUAACCGCUUAGAAAUACCAGGUGCUGUAA
Acanthosepion pharaonis is the source of this 111-nucleotide non-coding RNA. The record is from the annotation of a GenBank genome assembly. NCBI's taxonomy places the organism in Eukaryota, Metazoa, Mollusca, Cephalopoda, Sepiida, Sepiidae.